Molecule: RNA transcript, 26001 nt
Organism: Synchiropus splendidus (mandarinfish)
Lineage: Eukaryota; Metazoa; Chordata; Actinopteri; Syngnathiformes; Callionymidae
Exons: 3
Source: RefSeq, a predicted model, not a curated record
ACCAAACACAUCAUAUCACUAUUUUGAUUCUUCAAUGUGUCCAACAAUGUCAGACCACCACCACCUCAAAGAUUGGUCGAUGUCGGAACCACUGUAGAUCCUGUACUUUGUGACCGCUGUAAUUGAAAAAUUUGAGUUCUUGGCAUUUUGGCUAAAGUAAAAGUAAGGUAAAAAGAAAAAAUAAAAGUGUCAGACAUCGCUACAGUUCCCUCGGCUUACAAGACAUAAUUAGCCGCUGUCAGAAAAGUAAAGCAAGGAAUGAAAUCUUUAAUGUCUGUUCAUUAUCAGCAUCGAUGACCAGCUGCUGAGAAACACUCUUCACAGUAUCAGUGGCAGAAGGUCUUUGUGUUCGGAGGCAAAAGCAUCAUGUCUGGUGAUUUGAUGGCAGUGUUUUCAAAGCUCAGGGUGCGAUGCACGACACAAACCAAUAUUUAUGAGUGAGGAGUUGGCUGUUGUGACUAUGUCACUGAAAUGUUACAACACAAAUUAUAUUAUCUAUUAUACAGUAGAGUAUUUUGUUCUGAAGUGUUCUGUUUUCCCUCAGUGGCUGACCUGUCUCUUGCAACAAAACUUGUCGAAUGCUUUCUUUAUUACUGUUUACUAAAAAUACAACAAAAAAAAGACCAAGACCUAAACUACUGUACUGAUUAAGGGGUACACGGAUCAACAUUUUUUUGGCCAAUACCGAUUGCCCUUUCUUUUUUUAAAGUCCCAACUGGCUGAUACCGAUUUUUGCAGAUAGUUUUAUCUUUUUUUUUUUUACUCAACUAAAACACACAAAAGUCACACCUAUUAAAUAACAAUAAUCCUGAACAACACUGUGUAGUAAACAGUGCAACUUUUAAACAAAAUAAAUACACAAUAAAAAAGGCAAAGUGCCGAAUAUAAAAUAAAUUCCUUUCGUAAACCCACCAUGUGAACUUCACUCAUACCAUAACCUGACAGACCACUCCACUUGUCAUCGACUACAUGUCCAGGAAAUGAUAUCUGGGCUCCAGAUGUGCUACUAGCUGCUGAUAGCGCCCCUCCGGCCUUCAACAACAGAAUUCACCUGCUUGUUCAAAACAAUAAACUCAGUUCACAUUGGUUCUCUUGCGGUUAGCUCCAGUUAGCAUUCGUUCAUUAGCCUCUUGGUCACCCUUGAAUUCGGCACCAUGAUUUGAGGCCAAGUGUCAGCAACGUCUGAGACUGUGGGUGCACACCGCAGGCAGGGCUGCAACAUCACAACAACUAGUGGGAUUUCGCGGACAAAAGGGGAUAUUUGCUGUUUGAUUGACCGAUUAUGAUGACUGGGUAACCUGAGAGGAAAUGCUUUUGAUAAAUCAAGAGAUUUUAUUCAUUAUUAACAAUUCUGCCUGUGCUGAGCUGGGUCCUGGACCCUCCAAGGCUGGAAAGGCAUGGGAGGCAGGCUUCAAUCUCAGGGAAGAAGGCUGUCCACAAUAUGGCACUAAAGCCAGCAACGGACCAAGAGUUUCCAUCCUCGAACAGUUGAGAGUCAUAUUCGAGAUGUCACUUCCCGCUGCUGUUCUGGGCAACUUUACGUUUACACCACCUUGAUAAGCACCAUGGCCGCUUCUUUUUCACAACCGGUCGUUUAUGCAAAGAUUGAAUUUCUUGAGAAACCUCCUCCAUGAUGUUCGUGCAAGGGUCGCAGGUCGACAUCUGGCAGCUGUGAAAGGUGCCGGCGCAGGCCUCUCUAUUGUGAAGUGACACUUGAACAGUUUCUGUGAGUAUGGUGUUGACCUCAUUGGUCACAGUGUUCACAAUCCCGUGUGUGAUCUCUUGUGGGACCUGCAUGGCGUCCUUGUCCACCAAGUCGGAGAGCACCUCGCCAAAGGAUGUUCUGAAGGUGGGAUCGGUACCUGUGCCGUUGUAGUUUUGGGAAGUAUUCUGCAGAAUGACCUUCUCUGCCACAGAGUGGUUGAGAGUGGCAAACAUCUCACUGGACUUGGACAAUGACACAAUGGUCUGUGUGGACAGCUGCAGAAUUUCUAUGCAGAGGUUGACCAGCUGAUCCUUGACCACAAUGGUGUGGAGACCCUUGCUCAUCUCUGUCAGCUGCCUGAGGAUAAUGGAUGAGUCAGUCACAAAGCUGAACCUGUGGCUGGCAACUGACAGUUUGCAUGUUACGUACCUUUCAUCGAGGCUGUCAAAGAACUCCUUCAUCACCACACUGAGGUUCUUUUUGAGUUCAGACAGGGGCGCUGCUGCCCUGCUCUGUGUGCGGUUACUCUCUGUGUAGACACCUUGAGCUGAUGGCCCAGGAUGCCUUUUUAACUGCUGUACCAAGUCCUCCAAAGACAUCUCCUCAAUCUCUUGCAUCAUCGGUGGUGGACUCAUUUUAGGGUGUUUCGUGACCCCAUUCCCCAACUUGUUACCGUAGGGUUGGUACAGCGAAGAUCCCGUUGAAGGGUCCCUGCCAGUCCAUGCCUCUUCCAAGAACUCCAUCAUGACACAUGCUUUUGUGACAUCAUCAUCGCGAGGGCAAGAAGUAGAGUAUGAAGAGGACAAAGUAGAUGAGUUCAAAGCUGAUAAAUAAAGCGGAUCUCUUUGCCGACAUUUGUAGUCCAGAUAGUCUGUGAUGUAGUCCUCCACGCCUGCAGCUUCCAGGGUGUCAUCAUAGCCCAGAUAUUUAAAAGAGGACACAGACGUUUGAGUGGAGAUCUCCUGUGAGCCUUCAUUCUCAUCCACAAAUCUGCCUUGUGGAAAGUUUGGAGUGAUGCUCGGCGCAGGCGGCGUGGACAUAUCAUACUGCCCUGACCUUGAAUCCACCCAAGCCUCCUCCAUUAACUCCUUCAUAAUGCCUGCCGCUAAGAAUUCUUCAUCGUCCUCGUCAGUGUCAGUGGGUACGGAUGUCGAGAUAAAAUCUGCCUCCAGACUGGGUAGUUUCCACACAUGCGAGAGUAAUGAAUCUUGUUCCCUGCAAGGGUAGACCAUCUCUUCCUGCAACUCCGUCAUGGUAUCGUCCACAAAAAUAUCAGCUAGAUCAGAUGUGAAACUCAAGGCUACAUCUCGAGCAUCCUCUCUGGGGCACCCGGGGGUUGGAAGUGUCCAGAGAGGUUGGGAGUAGUAGCCUGAGUCUGUACGGCUGUGGGCCAGUUGUCCCAUCAGCUUUCCUUCACCCCCCGCGAUAACUUCCUCCUCAUCCUCCCCAUCUGAACGAGGAGAGGUGAAAGUCAUGGUUUUAUCCAGCGUGUCUUGACAAGAGCUCACGGAUGUUCGGGUGGACGAUUUCAAAAUCGGUGAAGAGUAUGAAUCUAAUGCUGGACUGAUAUAGUCCAGCUCCCCCUGUCCUUGUCCCUCAGUAACAGCUGAUUUGAUGACCUCAUCCUCAUCUGCAUAUGCUUCAGAUGGGAGAGAGGUGAAGAUCAGUGCUGGAUCAAUUUCGUCCAGGACAGUCCCCUCAGACGUUGGUGUGGAGCACUUCCACCCAGGGGACGAGGAUAAUUCUGCUACCUUGUAUGUUUGAGAUUGGUCCUGUAGAUGAGUCACCAUGACAUUUAAUGCAGGGCCAGUGUCAGGAGGAGAAAGAAGAGGGGACUCCUUAUCUGAGCUGUUCGGGGCAGAACUUAGUGUGGUGAUGGUGGUUGUUUCUAAAGACAAAUUAGUCUCCACGUAGGUGACUGAGGAGGAUCUGGUUGAGCUCAAAGCUGGAGAAGGAGUUGCAGUUGGUAAGGGAGUAGGAAGCCUGCAGAUGGUUGGCGUGGCUGGCAGUUGUGGUGUGGGAGAGUGGUGGGUAAUCAAAGCUGGAAAGUGAGUGCCCUCAAUUGGGGGUGUAGGAUGCCUACAGAGAGGAGACAUGGAGUUUUGCAAUUCGUCAUAAGUUUCAGCACUGCACUCCUGCAGCACUUGAAUGUCUGCUGAAUGUAAGAAGGUGGAUGACAUGGUGCUUAAUGCCAUUCCUUGAGGAGAGAGGGUGGGUUGUCCGUGAAGGGGCGAGAAGGGCUGUCGAUCCUUUUCUGUCUCCUCAGCAUCUCCCUCUUUGUCCAUGUCUGCAGAGACAAAUGAUGAGGGAAAGACCGCAUUCGUAGCUGGAGAAGGAGUUCCACCUGGGGAAGGAGUUGGUAGCCUUUGAACCAAGUCCUCCUGGAGGUCACUCCUUACAGCUGCCAUGUCCGACAAGGAGGAGGAGCUUAGUGUAGGGGACAGAGUUCUUCCUGGUGAGUGAGUCAGAAAAACGGAGACAGGUGAUGUCGAUUGCUGCUGUGCCCAUUUCACAUUAACAGUCACUUCUUGCAACACAUUAAUCCUCUCAACAGAGACAAUAGAUGCAGGAGAUUGGCUGCCUUCUGAGGAGGGUGGGGGGAGCCAGCGUACAGGUGAAGACGGUCCCUGAGACAGCCGCAAUUGCUCCUGCAGGACGCUUGCUGAUCUGGAGAGGGUCUGCUCUUCUUGCAAGACUUCUACUGAGUCAGCUGAGACAAACGAGAGUGGAGUGGUGGUGACGCUUAGUGCAGGGGACAGGCUUCUUACUGAUGAAGGAGUGAGCAGCCUUAGAGCUGGUGAGGUGGAUUGUUGUGCUGCCUUGCUUUUGUCCAGCAAUGUGUCCACAAUGUCUGCUGAGAUGGGUGAGGAAGGACACAAGGUACCCAGAGUGGGAGACUGGGUGCCAGCAGACAAGGGAGUCAGCCUGACUGAUGGACUGGUGGGCUGCUCUUGAAACACGUAAACUUGUUCCUCCUGCCUGGCACUCACUGGCCUUGAGGUGGGCAGAAUAUCCACUCCGGUGGUUGGAGUCCAUGUCUGCAGGUCUUGUGAAGGUAGGGGUGAGACAUGUGGUGGUUGCUGUGUUUGAUCAUUGACAUCCUGAUCUUCACUCGUAUAGCUGACUGUAUGAGGUGCUAAAGGACUUAGAGCCUGCCCUGUUACAACAAGGUGCUCCUGCUGGAAGGAGGAAACUGAAGUUAUCAUGGACAAGUCUUCCACACUCUCUUUGCUCACACCAGGGCUGGUGGUGGACCUUGUGAUGUGGAUGUCCUGAAUGGAGCACACCGACGUGCACAUAACAACGUCCUGAGCACAUGAGGGAGAAGGUCCUGGUGACUGAGCUUCCUGCGUGAGCAUCAGUGAAGAGCUUGGAGAGGGAACCCCGCCACACAUUGACGGAGAGUAGGACUGGGACACCUCGUCCACUUUAGGCUCCAUUUCCACACUAGUCCUAGAUGAGGCAGGGUUUAAAACCCUCUCUGGUGAUGCAGAGCCCCGUUGGGGUGUAGCAGAGGUAGUACUGUCUAUUUUCUCUUCGACUGCUAGCUGGAAGUCAACAAACGCUUUCUGAAGUGUUGUUUCCAAGUAGCUCUCCACUUGAAGGUUCAGUGUGUGCAUCAGUUCACUGGCAGCCUGCUGGACGAUUUCUGUGACCACUGUUCUGAAGUUUUCAGAGGAGGGCUCGGGCGGGGUGGACGGACUUGUUCUCUGACUUUCAUCCUCUUCAUCAUCUUUUACCAGUGAGGCCAUCAGGAUUUUCACAGUUACAGUUGACACGUGGUGUGUGUCCAGAUAUCAAAACCAAAUGAUUAAUUAUUGGCAGAUUACAAAUGUCUCAGCGGCAUACUGCUUUCUGUGUGGUCGACUUCCGAGUCAAUAUAUAGACUUUAGGACUGACAUCCCAUGUGACCUGUGAAGACUUUAUUGUGUCACAUGAUGGCAUUUGAAAAGUGCACUCACUUCUCUUAGGCCUCCUGAGACAUUGUGCCAGACUUUACUAAAGCAUCUUGGUCUUCACUGUACUCCUCACACCACCAAUGUCUAUAGAACUAUCUUGGUCCAUUGCAACACUGGAUGUGGAAAGUUCCAAUCAUGGAACCUCAUGGAACAUGAUGUUCAAUGGGACAAGUUAAGCAUGCUGCUGCUGCUGCAGAACAAUUUCACUGAUCACCCAGGGUGGAAGAAUUAUCAUGUUUAAUCCGCUCAAGUGUUGUCACCACCAGUGCCUGCGCGUAACAAACAAUCUUCAUAAUAAUGGAUUCAAACCUGCAACCUCCUUGUUGUACGACUGCAACACUCACCACUGUGUCAAAGUGUGGUCAUGCGGCAUCAUCAGUCCUGGCAGCUGGUCUUUGAAUCCCAUGUGACACCUUGCGCUUGGCUUUGUUUGCGGUUGACUUUAGCCUAUAUAAGGUGAAUGUGUGUUACUGCAAUAGACUCACACCAAGUCAGCUCGCCAGAAUGAAAUUGGAAUCGGAGAAUUCUACAUCAGCAACUUUGAACGAUAGUUAUGAGAGGACGUGCUGCUUGGUCGAGGAGGGGGGUUUGGAUCUGCUUAUCUCAGAGGCAGUUCACCGUGCUGCCAAUGAUGUCAAGCGGCUCCAGCAAGAAAUCAUUCAAUGGGAGGAGGAGGAACUAUCCCACCUGACCAGUACAGAUGACAGUGCUGAAGUCAAGGCUCAAAUGUACGUCAAACAAAAAACCAACAAUUACCUGGAGAUAUUCUUUGCCAAUCGGAGAGCAACUGUUGAAUGGUGUACAGUGGGUACAGAUGUCAGCCAAGGGGCUCGAGAGGGGGUGUCCACGUAUCAGGAUUUCCCUGACACAGACCUAGCAGCAACUGGUGAGAUGUUGGAAUUCUUGGACUACUCAGAACUACCAGACGUUACCAUGGCUCAGCAAGUGGAAGGCUUCAAAUGUCGAUGUGCGGGUCAAAGUCCAACAACCUCGUUCGAAGAAACCUAUGAUAGCCUGUGUUCCAGCAUCACGGAUAUAGUUCACCAGGCAGCAAAGGAUGUUAACGAACUCAGGCAGUCCAUCUGUCACUGGGAAGCUGAGGAGCAAUCCAAACUCAGUGCUGAUGAGGAUGACUCCGCAGUUCAACGCAGAGUCAACGAGAAAGUGGAGCUUUACCUGGAAAGUUACUUUGCUGGACGAAGGGCCAUGGAAGCACAAUGUGAGGAGAGAUACCCGGCGGAAGAUUUCUCUCAGAGACCCAUGACUCCUUCCUCGCAGGUCCCAGACAUGCUAGGUUCGAUGUCUGUGGCCCAUCAAGAGAUAGAUACCCUAUCAACGGAAGUCACCAAUGAAUUCUGGCAAGACAACAGAAAAUUGACCUUUGAUACAAUGUCUCUAACGCAGCAGCUCGGGAGUCUCGUGAACAGCUCUGCGACGUUGGUGACCUCAGACGAGGUCUCUGAAGACUUAAAUUCACAAAUAACAGAGAUUGUGUGUCAGUCUGUACAAGAUGUUUCUCACCUAAAGCAGACAAUUUGUCGCUGGGAGGAAGAAGAGCGCUCCAAACUUGAGCCUGAUGUGGACGAAUCUGUAAUACAAAGUCGUGUAUCGCAAAAGGUGGAGCGUUUUUUACAAAUAUACUUUGACCUCCGAAGAGCACUCGCAGAGCGUGAAAGCCGAGUAAAGUUGGGAGAAUACACAUUCACAGAGAAGGACCUACGAGGACCAUCACUACAAUGGCUUGAAGGUUACAUCGAACAGAAUCAAAAUUUGAAUCUGAGCACAAUCGUUUUAUAUGACAUAAGUUCACAAACAUUCAAUGACAGUCUGUUAGAUGAGGACACUUUGCCACAGGAUGUCAGCCUGCCAUCAACUUCUCAUCCUGACAAACAAAUGCCAGACACCUCAGACGACGCUAGAUCACCGGAAAAAACAGAUGUAGUGGAAACGAUCGAUGUGGAGGAAGCCGAUGAUGAAGAAUCAGAGUUCUCUCUUCUGCCCUCUAGGCUCUCCCCCAGUGAGGAGGACAGCCAGGCGCUUGUCCAGAGCACCUCCCCUCCACUAGAUGGUACAGAUGUGGAAGAAAAUAUUACAUUGAGUGAUGUUAGUCUUGCGCCGUUACCUUCUGCAGACCGACCCAGUUCAGUUACAGAGAGCAACUUAGAGGAACUGGUUUCACCAGGUAGUGAAGAUAAAUUACUUCUUGUUCAAACCUCUGAUGGUGGAUUAGAAGUUGACUUGGCAGAUCAACGCUCCCUCACCGAGCCCCAUAUUCUUGACACUGAGAAGUCGGAGUUGAGUGCUCACCUUGAAACAGCUGAGUGCACUGACGAUGACACGGAAGUAAUAGUCACCAGUACUGGGGCGAGAGAAGACAUUGAGCAAACAGAACGUAUCAGUGAUGAAGCCAGGACUCCUACUGCAGAGGAAGAAGGAAAACCAGGAAUGGGCUUACCAGAGACAAUGUCACCUGUCAUUCAAGACUCGUCGCCAGAAGCCUCUCGUAGGGAGGAGGUGGUUCUUGCGGAUGUCACAGCCAUUGGUGAUGAAGAGGAGGCUGCUUCUGAAAAACUGAGCUGUACCGGAGAAGAUGUCUCCAAUUUAUCUGAGGGGAUCGAAUAUGUUUGUGAUCCUCUUCAGGAGCUGGCCGAUCAGGAUGGAGUGAAAAAGGAAUCUGACACCAGUUCUACAUGUAUAGAAGAUGCCACUACAGUAGCUGAGGAGGUAGAGGACAGUCUUGUUGAAAAGCAACAGUCAACCUCCAAAGAAGACUUCUCCAGGAAAGAACAGAGCCCAACAUCUUUGCUCCUGUGUUUCUUUUUUGAGGAUGAUGAGCCCUUCAUAUCCUGUCUUGACUCAGAAUCAUCACGGGGGCAAUCAGCUUCUCCACUGGGAAGACCAACUCCCACCCCUAUAUGUUCCCCUCAAGACACUAUAAUGCCAUUCAGUCCUGCAGCGACUUACCAAGAGGACAGAGCGGUGGUGGCAGGAGUUUGCAAAGCAGAGACUAAAAGUGAUGUCGAUUCAGCACUUGGACAGAGCCCCUCUCCAUCAGAGGUGUCCAGUAAAAACAUAGAGCCAACAUUGAGCCCCUUGCCUGAUGUAACCAGCGUACAGCUAAAGGAACCUGAGUGUGCCACAACAGAAGAUGCUGUGACUAUAGAGUUAGGUGCAACAUAUACAGUACCAGGAUCCACCCAGGAUCAGCUUGAUGAAAACUUGGACUCCAGCAAGACCUUGCUUGGAGAAGAUGAACCCAUAACUGAGGACGGCCCUCAGGAUUCUGAAAAAGGACCUUCUCUCUCAUCGUCCAAAGAACUGUUAAAUCUAUCUGGCACGGAAAUCUGUGAGCUAAGAUUAACCGCAAAUGGCAGCAUUGAGUUGGAUGAUGUCAUUCAAAUGACGGAGGAUUCAAUAGGAAAAGACCCAGAUGAAGUUGGAAAAGCACCAAGCCGCUUACCUUCACCUUUCCAAGAGGUGUCAACUUCUAGCAAAGCAGAAAAAUCUGAAACUCCACAGUCCUUGUUGUUAGCCAGCAGUGCAGAGGUGGAGACAGCUCUCACGUCGGUCCAAUUUGUGAAUGACGUGGAGAAAGAGGGCCAUGAGCUGAGUGAGCAUUCACAACUGGAGGCUGUGAGUUCUGCAUUGGGCAUAGGGGAAUUUGAUAACGUUUCAGAUGUGGACAAUAUUGAUGAUCUGUCUCAAAUCGGCCUUGUUGAUAGCAGGGUGUCAAGUGGUAAAGAUUUGCUCGAGCCCGAGUUGGAUGAAGGCAGUGGAAAAGUACGUUCCCCAACACAAGACGUCUCAGAUGUGCCACUUGACUCAUAUUCCCAGGUCAUCUUCAGCAAUGGUGGUCUCAACACCACCUCUAUAGAUGGUCCAACUCAGGCAGACAUGUAUCCAGGUCUAGGACUCUCUGACUCUCUUCUGGAGACCUCCACCCAGGCCACAGUGGGCUCUGCUCAGCGUGCGUCGAGAACAUCAGAUUUCAUCCCUCCGGUGACACAAGUUGAUCAGGAUGAGUUGCCUCUAGGAUCGAUUCUUUCUCAGGCACAAAACGGUUUGGGAAUAUCUGAGAGAAAAGGAAGAGCUUCUGCUGCCAGUGAGGGAACCUCUGAUGACUUCAACGCACUUAUAAAAGAGAUUGUAUACAAGGCAGCCCGAGACAUCAACAAUCUGAAACUGCUCAUUUCGCAGUGGGAGGUCGAAGAACGGUCCAAAGUCACUGCUGGUGAAGACAAGGCCUUGGUGCAAAGUCGUGUUUAUGAGCGGGUGGCCAGCUACUUGAAGACCUUUUUUGCCCAUCGUAGAAUGUUUGCUGAACAGUCUGAGGAGCCAGAAGAAGUGGGGAGUUACAAUGUCAAAGUGCCCCUGUCACCGAUGCUAUCCAAAGCUGUCUCUGAGAUUCCAGGGCUGUACUCGCUGGCGCCACCACCGGGCUCAGAACUCUUUGAAAGUCGGAUUGAUGUAGAGGUUGGGGCAGACACCGCCCCAGAACUGCUACAGUUGGACUCUCAAUUCACUUUCAGGUUCCAGGAAUCAGUUCGCUCACAAUCUAGUCUUCCAUCAGUGUAUGAUGACAUAAGAGAUCUGGAAGGUCCCCUUGAGGAAUCAAGGCUAUUCACCUUCAGAGACUUAAUCCCUGAUAUGUCAGUCUCUAAUGAGUCAGUCCCUGGUGUGCCAGUUCCUGAUGUCCCUGGUGUGUCUGUCUGCGAUGGGUUGGUCCCUGACGAGUCAGUCCCUGCUGUCUCUGUCAGUGGUUGGUGGGUUCCUGAUAUGUCAGUCCCCGAUAUGUCAGUCCCCGGCAUGUUAGUCCCCGGCGUGUCAGUCCCUGGCGUAUCAGUCCCCGACGUGUCAGUCCCCGACGUGUCAGUCCCCAGCAUGUCAGUCCCCGGCAUGUUAGUCCCCGGCGUGUCAGUCCCUGGCGUAUCAGUCCCCGACGUGUCAGUCCCCGGCAUGUUAGUCCCUGGUGGGUCAGUCCCCGGCAUGUUAGUCCCCGGCGUGUCAGUCCCUGGCGUAUCAGUCCCCGACGAGUCAGUCCCCGGCAUGUCAGUCCCCGGCAUGUCAGUCCCCAACAUGUCAGUCCCCGGCUUGUCAGUCCCCGGCAUGUCAGUCCCCAGCAUGUCAGUCCCCGACAUGUCACUCCCCGGCGUGUCAGUCCCUGGUGUGUCAAUCCCCGGCAUGUCAGUCCCCGACAUGUCAGUCUCCGGCGUGUCAGUCCCUGGCAUGUUAGUCUCUGGUGUGUCAGUCCCCGACAUGUCAGUCCCUGGCGUAUCAGUCCCCGACGUGUCAUUCCCCGACGUGUCAGUCCCUGGCGUGUUAGUCCCUGGUGUGUCAGUCCCCGACGUGUCAGUCCCUGGCGUGUUAGUCUCUGGUGUGUUAGUCCCUGAUGAGUCAGUCCCCGGCGUGUUAGUCCCUGGUGUGUUAGUCCCUGAUGAGUCAGUCAGUGCUGUCUCAGUCUGUGAUUGGUGGGUCCCUGCUUUGUCAGCCCCUGAUGGGUCAGUCCCAGAUGAGUCAGUCCCAGAUGAGUCAGCAGCAGUUUGCAACCCUCUGGCCUCGUCAAUGAGGCUCAUAGGUUUUACAAAUGGUAAUGUGGAAGUGGAAAUAACCCCACAGGUGCCUCCUCUGGCUCCAUCAACUACUGCCUUCUUUUUGUUAGACAGUGAUGACAAAACGUCAGGAUUUAAGCCAUCAAAUCUUGUGGAAGACAUCAUUAGGGAAGACUCUGGAAUAGGAUCAGAACUUCCUGAGGGCUCUGUCUUCUCUGUGGCUCCCUCAAGAAGUUCUACACCUGCCACGUUCCUUCAGCAGGCACAGAUUGUUUAUGAGCAAGUCCCCACUUCAGAAGUUCAUGCAGGGAUGUUGGUGAAAGAUGCAAUAGACAGUGAUCUGAAACUAUCAGAGGGGAGGGACUGGAUCAAUAUGGCUGCCGAGUUAGGAGCUGUGACACUGCAUGACGACAAAGAUCCACAAACUACAGAAAGAAACACUAAUCUUCCUGGGACCUCCAUACCCAUCAUUGAAGACAUGCCAUUGCUAGACCUCACUUUUCUUCCAACAUCAUCAUCCACGUAUUUACAACGAGUCAGAUCAGAAAGCCCUCUAGAAAAAAUGAAGGCAAAUGUAGAUCAAACUGUGGAGGAGAACAGAGUCGUAUUUAUUCCUUCCCUUAUUGAAGAUGAUCCAUCAGCACCGGUUCCUACAGCUUUCAUAACUUCUUCGACAGACUUUGUCUCAAAAGUGUCUUACCAGGAAGGGCAGGAUGAGUCACUGACAUGGAUGGUUGUCUCAGACUCCUUUGGAGGACAAUUACCCGAUGCUACCCGACUGGCCCUCCUGACGCUCCCUGAGUCAACCUCACUGCCUGAAGCGCAGGAAUACCCAGGGCAACCUGUCAGAGUAGAGAUGGAAGGCACACCUCAGCUUUUCACCAGUAACAUGGGGCCGGCCCUUGAAGAAGUUUAUCCACAGGCUCCAUUAGAGAUCGAUGCGUCUCUGUGUGUAGAGGAAAAAUCUAGUGAGCCUUUGAUGGUGGGCGUUCCAGACGUGUCCCCGCUGAUGGAAAUGAAGAAGGUCUUGAAUGUCAUCAUGAGACAGUUCUUCGAUGGCCUCUCAGAAAGAAACCUUCGAGAGAUGAGCAACGGCAUAGACAACCUGAUGGUGAAGGAGCAACUAGUCAGCAUGUGCAUGUCGGUCCUCGAAAUGGCGACAAGGGCCUUUGUCUCUCUGGCUAACUGCCAAGAUACUGAUGUGACGUCCUCACCAGCAAGCUGCGGUCCAUCCGUGACCCUCAUGGUUGACCUUGAGCAGAGGACCUCUAGCCUUGUAAAGGAGUCGACUGAUCAGAACUUUAAGAUGUUCCUGGUAAAUGCCAUCUCUGACCUGGCAGACGAGAACACGACAAUUCAGACUCCGCCCGAAAUCAAAGACGGGAUCUUGAACACUGUCACAGAGGAGGUCAACUGCAUACUGUCUGAGAACAUCCAGAACUCGCUACACAGUCGGCACUCGGGCACCAACUUUUGCCAGAUGUCCACGUGUAGGCUAUGCAGGAAGAUAAUGGCGCGUGUAGCUCGAGAGAUCAAGCUGCUCAUCAAAGGCCGCCGCACCAAGAAGGUAAGACCCAGGAGCUCAAGUAAAGCGGAUCUUUAUCCUCUGAAGCUGAUGGAGCAGACAAAAGGAGACUUUGCCAACCUUGAGCCUCCAAACUUAACGGAAGUGUCCAUGAAAGACUCAAGUGUUUUAAAGAAGCCCUCUCUUAUAAAGAGGUUCUGGGGUCAACUUAAGUGCAAGGAAUGACCUCAGACUUCCCCAUGAAGUGUGAGUACUGAAUGACACAAAUGGUCAAGCUGUGAUGCCAAGAACCAAUAAACCCUUGUGCACCCCUAAGCACAUAUCUUCUUGUGUGUAUGCAGCAACAACACAACUGUUCAGAAUAAUGAAUUCCAAAAGUAGUGUAUUGUAUAUUCUAUUCUCUAUUUAAGUGGUAGUGACACAUUAAUGAGAGGGCAAAAACAUUAGGUUAGGUUAGGUAACUUUAUUGUCAAAUAUGCUACAGUGCAGCAUCUGACAUAUAGCAUGGAUGAAAUAUCUGUUCUCUCAGACCUGGACAGCAUCAUCUUAUUCAAGUACUGUAAACACAGACCAAAGUAAGUCUUUUUUUCUGAACUUUACAUUUCUGUAUUAAGUUAACUGACACUAGCAAGGGGCUGGAUAUCAGUGAACCUGAAACAACUUCUGUCAUUUCUCAAUGCCUGUGCCAAAUUUGUGUCCUUUAUAGCAGUGUUUUUCAACUUUUUUCUAGCCACGGCACAUUUUGUUCAUUGAAAAAAUCCCAAGGCUCACCACCAAUGAAUCCUUGGCCGAUUGUGCCCAGUCGAAAGUCCUGUAGAAAAUCCCUUUUCAUUUGUGAAAAUUUGUAGUUACUGACACUUUUUGGCAUGUUAUUUGCAGACACGUUUUGUUUUUCUUCAAUUUUACCACAAUGUCUUUUGCAUGAUUUUAUUCUAGUAUGAUAAUAAUAAUAAUAUUCUUUGCCUCAGCUGGCUUCACAACAACAGUGAUUCUUUCGGUCUUCUCAUUUUGGAGCAAAUUUAUUUGAAUGUUAACCAAAACCACAAAGAAAAUUCUGACAGUUUGCGAGAGUUAAUAAAGCUUUGAAGGGCCAUUAGCUAUUAGCUCUGUUAGCUAUGUUAGUGCUGCGGCAGAGAAUGCCUUUGGCGUCGCGGGUCCGCCAAGGAACAAUCCAUCAUUCUGUCGUGAAGGUGUGUGGUUACAUUAGAGGCGCAUCAGGUAAAAAAAGAACUUGAAGUUGCGCAUUUGACCUGCUUCUUCGCUGUGAGGGAAAAGAAGCAGUGCGCACCACACUGCGCACUGUGAGUGAUGGACGAGUAGAGUCAGCAUCCAUCUAUAGUGUGUAGAAAGAAUGUUACCGAAUCCAUGUAAUCUCCUCACGUCAGCAGGUUCCUAUUGUUUAAUGUUGUCAUAUCGUCCACCUCCAUCUCCGGACAAAUUGGGUGAAACUGGAUAAUUUCCCACCGAAGCAGCAGCAGUUUGCAACCCUCUGGCCUCGUCAAUGAGGCUCAUAGGUUUUACAAAUGGUAAUGUGGAAGUGGAAAUAACCCCACAGGUGCCUCCUCUGGCUCCAUCAACUACUGCCUUCUUUUUGUUAGACAGUGAUGACAAAACGUCAGGAUUUAAGCCAUCAAAUCUUGUGGAAGACAUCAUUAGGGAAGACUCUGGAAUAGGAUCAGAACUUCCUGAGGGCUCUGUCUUCUCUGUGGCUCCCUCAAGAAGUUCUACACCUGCCACGUUCCUUCAGCAGGCACAGAUUGUUUAUGAGCAAGUCCCCACUUCAGAAGUUCAUGCAGGGAUGUUGGUGAAAGAUGCAAUAGACAGUGAUCUGAAACUAUCAGAGGGGAGGGACUGGAUCAAUAUGGCUGCCGAGUUAGGAGCUGUGACACUGCAUGACGACAAAGAUCCACAAACUACAGAAAGAAACACUAAUCUUCCUGGGACCUCCAUACCCAUCAUUGAAGACAUGCCAUUGCUAGACCUCACUUUUCUUCCAACAUCAUCAUCCACGUAUUUACAACGAGUCAGAUCAGAAAGCCCUCUAGAAAAAAUGAAGGCAAAUGUAGAUCAAACUGUGGAGGAGAACAGAGUCGUAUUUAUUCCUUCCCUUAUUGAAGAUGAUCCAUCAGCACCGGUUCCUACAGCUUUCAUAACUUCUUCGACAGACUUUGUCUCAAAAGUGUCUUACCAGGAAGGGCAGGAUGAGUCACUGACAUGGAUGGUUGUCUCAGACUCCUUUGGAGGACAAUUACCCGAUGCUACCCGACUGGCCCUCCUGACGCUCCCUGAGUCAACCUCACUGCCUGAAGCGCAGGAAUACCCAGGGCAACCUGUCAGAGUAGAGAUGGAAGGCACACCUCAGCUUUUCACCAGUAACAUGGGGCCGGCCCUUGAAGAAGUUUAUCCACAGGCUCCAUUAGAGAUCGAUGCGUCUCUGUGUGUAGAGGAAAAAUCUAGUGAGCCUUUGAUGGUGGGCGUUCCAGACGUGUCCCCGCUGAUGGAAAUGAAGAAGGUCUUGAAUGUCAUCAUGAGACAGUUCUUCGAUGGCCUCUCAGAAAGAAACCUUCGAGAGAUGAGCAACGGCAUAGACAACCUGAUGGUGAAGGAGCAACUAGUCAGCAUGUGCAUGUCGGUCCUCGAAAUGGCGACAAGGGCCUUUGUCUCUCUGGCUAACUGCCAAGAUACUGAUGUGACGUCCUCACCAGCAAGCUGCGGUCCAUCCGUGACCCUCAUGGUUGACCUUGAGCAGAGGACCUCUAGCCUUGUAAAGGAGUCGACUGAUCAGAACUUUAAGAUGUUCCUGGUAAAUGCCAUCUCUGACCUGGCAGACGAGAACACGACAAUUCAGACUCCGCCCGAAAUCAAAGACGGGAUCUUGAACACUGUCACAGAGGAGGUCAACUGCAUACUGUCUGAGAACAUCCAGAACUCGCUACACAGUCGGCACUCGGGCACCAACUUUUGCCAGAUGUCCACGUGUAGGCUAUGCAGGAAGAUAAUGGCGCGUGUAGCUCGAGAGAUCAAGCUGCUCAUCAAAGGCCGCCGCACCAAGAAGGUAAGACCCAGGAGCUCAAGUAAAGCGGAUCUUUAUCCUCUGAAGCUGAUGGAGCAGACAAAAGGAGACUUUGCCAACCUUGAGCCUCCAAACUUAACGGAAGUGUCCAUGAAAGACUCAAGUGUUUUAAAGAAGCCCUCUCUUAUAAAGAGGUUCUGGGGUCAACUUAAGUGCAAGGAAUGACCUCAGACUUCCCCAUGAAGUGUGAGUACUGAAUGACACAAAUGGUCAAGCUGUGAUGCCAAGAACCAAUAAACCCUUGUGCACCCCUAAGCACAUAUCUUCUUGUGUGUAUGCAGCAACAACACAACUGUUCAGAAUAAUGAAUUCCAAAAGUAGUGUAUUGUAUAUUCUAUUCUCUAUUUAAGUGGUAGUGACACAUUAAUGAGAGGGCAAAAACAUUAGGUUAGGUUAGGUAACUUUAUUGUCAAAUAUGCUACAGUGCAGCAUCUGACAUAUAGCAUGGAUGAAAUAUCUGUUCUCUCAGACCUGGACAGCAUCAUCUUAUUCAAGUACUGUAAACACAGACCAAAGUAAGUCUUUUUUUCUGAACUUUACAUUUCUGUAUUAAGUUAACUGACACUAGCAAGGGGCUGGAUAUCAGUGAACCUGAAACAACUUCUGUCAUUUCUCAAUGCCUGUGCCAAAUUUGUGUCCUUUAUAGCAGUGUUUUUCAACUUUUUUCUAGCCACGGCACAUUUUGUUCAUUGAAAAAAUCCCAAGGCUCACCACCAAUGAAUCCUUGGCCGAUUGUGCCCAGUCGAAAGUCCUGUAGAAAAUCCCUUUUCAUUUGUGAAAAUUUGUAGUUACUGACACUUUUUGGCAUGUUAUUUGCAGACACGUUUUGUUUUUCUUCAAUUUUACCACAAUGUCUUUUGCAUGAUUUUAUUCUAGUAUGAUAAUAAUAAUAAUAUUCUUUGCCUCAGCUGGCUUCACAACAACAGUGAUUCUUUCGGUCUUCUCAUUUUGGAGCAAAUUUAUUUGAAUGUUAACCAAAACCACAAAGAAAAUUCUGACAGUUUGCGAGAGUUAAUAAAGCUUUGAAGGGCCAUUAGCUAUUAGCUCUGUUAGCUAUGUUAGUGCUGCGGCAGAGAAUGCCUUUGGCGUCGCGGGUCCGCCAAGGAACAAUCCAUCAUUCUGUCGUGAAGGUGUGUGGUUACAUUAGAGGCGCAUCAGGUAAAAAAAGAACUUGAAGUUGCGCAUUUGACCUGCUUCUUCGCUGUGAGGGAAAAGAAGCAGUGCGCACCACACUGCGCACUGUGAGUGAUGGACGAGUAGAGUCAGCAUCCAUCUAUAGUGUGUAGAAAGAAUGUUACCGAAUCCAUGUAAUCUCCUCACGUCAGCAGGUUCCUAUUGUUUAAUGUUGUCAUAUCGUCCACCUCCAUCUCCGGACAAAUUGGGUGAAACUGGAUAAUUUCCCACCGAACACUUGACAUUCACACUAGUAUUAUUGGUCACAGAAUUAGUGGUGCAUUGAUCAAACAGCCGGCCGAUUUAUUGGUGCCGAUAUGGGCAUUUAUGACAUCGUCAUGAUCGGUCGGUCACUCUAUGCGUUCCUACUCUGUAGUUCCUGCCCUUUUGCUCCAGCUACAGUACAUCUCCCCCCUUUUAGUUACUGGUCAGACUUUAUCUUUUGUUUGUUUUCCUUUCUAUGUCAACAAUUUAUCUCUAUCUUGCCUGAGGUCAUGCUCAAGGGUUGAUCCAAAAACGAGGAUGUUGUUGGUAUGAUGUACCAUCCCUUCCAGUCAUGGCCAACAUAUGUGUCUCUUCCUUUGUAAAUGUUCAGGUGCCGCACGGUAAGGGUGUCAGAGUCCAGCUGUGGCGUCCAGUUUGAGUGUUGCCCUGCCAGCUUGGCCAGGGAUUUGCCCAUGGCUGGCCUCUGGUCUCUUCCUGUGGGUUUGGUGCCACUACCAUGCCUGUGCACCAUUCUGUGGCCUCUUCGAUGGGCAUAGUUACCCCUAUUUUCUCUGAAGCUAUAUGGUAAAUAUCGAAGUAGCAGCAAUACAUUGGGCUUUGCGUCCGCCUUCCGCCCAAUCUUUUAUUCCCCUUUUCGUCAACCCAGCCUCUGACUCUUUAAUGCCAUCUAUUAGCUGCAGAUGCUGCGGGUCAGAGACAGCAGGAAACCCAGGCGGAGGAGUGGAUAUUGUGGUGUGGUCAUUCACUUUCACAGUCUUUUCCAUUUCUUCCUUGACAGCACCUACUCUACCUGGCUUGCAAAUGGAAAAAGUGUCCUUUUCGUCCGCAUCUACUACAUAUAGAUUCGUGUGCAAAGUAGUUGUUCCGGGAGUGUGCUGGUCCUUUUCCAGAUGGGUGUUCUCUGUGUGACCUUUUUCUGGAAUUUCAGUCCACGCUGGCCAAUUUCCAUUAUUGAGAAUGAGUCUCUCUCUCACCAUUGGCUGCUGUUUCCUUUUCCUCAUGUUGUCUUGUUGCAGUGACAGCUUUUUCUGGUGUCAGUUCACUGUUCAUUUUUCAGAAAGGCAAUGGGAUAACCCCACCACCAACCUGUCUCAGAUCAAUUCGUCCUCCGAUGGGCCAUGUUGACAGUGCUCUGCAGUGCUGAAGGCCUCAUCUGAAUCUCCUGGCUCUUGGCAAGUCUUAUUGAAAUCAGUCCUUUCACAAUUAUUUUGGGAUAUACAGCAUUCAUCGAAUGUCUGUUUCAUUGGCCGGUGACACUUUAAAUCUGCAGCACCAAGUUUACUCAGACUCUCAUCAGUUUUGUUGAGCAUCACCAAUGAGUUCCCUUGAUGCGCUUUGUCUUUCUGUGAGUGUAUUAGAUCUGCUCUUCACUCCUGAACUUGUGCCUUCUGGGAUUAGGUCACCGAGACGCAUCAUAACUGAGCCUGCUGCAGCCAGAUUUUCUGCUAUGUAUGAUUCUUUUGUUCUUGGAACGUGAUGAGGUGGACAACUUUAUUAAUAACUUUAACAGUCACUUCAUCUUUUUUAGAUCUGUCCAAUCUAAUCUUGUGUCUCAAGAAGCAGUUUAUGCUUAGAUUAAUUCGGAAUAUGAGGAGACAAAACUGAGCGUCUGUGGAAGUCAAUUAAACUUGCGGCAUCUCAAGGAGCUUGGAUUUUCUUUAAAUGAAACUAUGCAAAAAUGCCAGGUCUGACUAUCUCCGCCAGCUGGUCAUCAUGAAUAAAAAGUGCUGUUUGACACCUUCAGCUCUUACACCUGUAUUUUGCAUGGCUGACUGUAAUUAAUUUCUUUUGAAGAAUGAAGUUCUUUAUUGGUAAAUUUUGGGACAUAAAGUUCCAGCUUCCGGCGCCAUCUAAUUGUAACCCUGCUGAUAAUGAGCCUGUACGCUGUAAGUGGUCAUCUUUUUAACCUGUAACACAACCAGAAUGAAGCUUUCCUUUUGUUCAUAACAUGUUAUGCCUUGUAAACUCCUUUUAAAUGCAUUUCAUAUCAUUGGCCCCAGGGUUACCAGAGUGAUCAGCCUGUCGCUCUCUACUAGUGUCUUUUCUAAUUCUUAAUAAUAAAAUGCCAUUGUGGAACCACAACUCAUAAAAUCAAAUCUGGAUCCUUCAGAUCCCAAAAAAUUCAGAACAACUGACUUUUCAGUCUGGUUUUCAUAAGCAUCACUCCACAGAAAAAAACGCCCUGCUCAACGUGUCCAGUGACAUGAUGUCUGUAGACUGUAGAAAUGCACUGUCCUGGUCCUGUCAGAUCUCUCUUCAGCAUUUGACAGUGUCGGAUCAUCACAUUCCAUUAACUGUGACCCAGGAUCAGUCCUACCAUGGCUCUCUUCAUUCUGUACCUGGUCAAACUUCCUCAAACCGUGACACCAAGUCAGUCGUUUUCUUCGGCUCCAGUCUUCUGAGACUAAAGAGGAACAAAACACUGGGCUACCUAGCAGACUAAGGUAACGGGUAGCAAGGCAAGUGGAGAGCCAUUUCCUGGUGUACACUGGAUUAGAAAGAGGAAGAAACACGCAAGUUGAACUCAGCAUUUAAUCAUCAGACAUUUCAUCUCACAUUCGCUGCUAUAUAAAAUACAAUCUCCGACACGGACGUCAAUUCAAGUUCAGUCAUAAAUUGAACAGUUCUCCGAAACAUGAACACUGACUUUGCAUUAAGUCAUAUGACUUCACACUGUAAACAUUUGAGCAACUUUGUAUUUGUAGUUUGUCACAUGACCCUGACUCUUCUCCUGGCACGGUCACACCAGCCCCCAGUGCCUGACAUAAAAACAACAAGUCACAGUAUUUUGAAUUAAAAAAAUAGUUUGUGUCGUCAACUGUACACAAUGUGCUUUUCCGAAAUGGUGCUGAGCUGGCUGCACCCUGCAGGGGCUGCCGGCACGGUCAUGGCAGUCGGUCUGCGUGAAAGCGGCGAUGCCUGAAGCGUCCGCUCUUGUCCUUGGCUGCAUUGAUGCAGGCAUUGUGCUUGUUGCUCUGCAGGUGGUUCCAGUACUUGAUGAGCUCAUUGGGCUGGAACUGGUGUGAUGUUAUUAGGUGGCUGUACUUGCAGCUGGAGUAUGAAACCCUCCAGUGGUUGAACAGGAACUCAUUGGGCGGUGGCACUGGGUCAAUGCGCAGCUUCGCCAAACAGAUUCCGACGUAAACGUCCUCCAGGUGGAGCCGACGAAUCCCUGUUGAUGCUUGGUAGAUGAGUUCCGCCAUGUCACCCGAAAACACAUAUCCUGUUCCGGAGCAGAAUAUGGGGUAGCGUUCACUGGGGUACAGCUCAGGAGGCAUGUACCACUUACUGUCUUUGUUCCGGUUUGGGGCAUAGCCCCUCAUCAAGUAGCCAGUGAAGUAGCGCCGUCUCGGCGGCACAUCUGGCUUCAGCAGCUUUUGGAUCAGGUACUCUGUGUUGACAAACAUGUCGGAGUCAGUCUUCAUCACGUAGGAAGCGUGUGGGCAGAAGGUGGCGACCCAGUUCAGUCCCAUCAAUGUCUUGAUGGUGAGGUUGUAGUAGGUGUCCUGGUAGUCCUGCUGGAUGAUGUCGUGGUGAGCACGACUCUCCUCCUCCACAGUGCUCUGCACAGAGGCGUCUGGGCCCUGACCAGUGCCGAGCAAGAACAAAUGGAUGAAAGUCAGACCCCCCGCCACACUCUCAUUGCCCCAUGUCUGUCGGAUGGCAUCCCGGGCCUCGGACUGACCCGGCUCUGCGGCAAUGAGCAAAAUGAGGAACGGCGUGGUGUCCCUGCACUUGAAUGGCUCGUUGAGGAUGUAGCGGUAUGGCUGCGCACUGAGUCUCCCUCCCACACCCAUCUCCUCCUGUAGACUGUUGUUGGGGCUCAUAGAGUCACCCAGCCCCAUGACGCCCACACGGACGCCCUCCCCCUCAGCCUGAUGCAAGCUCAAGUUGAGCGGAGACUUUUGCAGUGAAUGACCAGCCUCCUUCCAGAGACUCCUGAGCGAGCUGCUCUGAUUGCUCUCCCCUCUAGGACUCCUAAUACCUCGAACUGUGUAUGCCAGAGGACCUUCUCGUGGCCCACUACGCCCGGGUAGCCAGUCCUGAUGGCUAAAGAACAAGAGCAGGGUAAAGAGCAGCGCCAACAUCAGAAGUCCUGCCACGUGGGUGCGGAAAUGGGAACGCUUGGUCGUCCAUGACAUUGUGACGGGGCAACAGUGCCGCCGUCGCCACUGCAUGUUGCAGGUCUGGGUCUCAAGGUGCGGCUGGAGGGCAAGCAGCAGUCACAUGCGGUCGCCUGAUCAUGUGGAAGCCAAGAGUAUGUGAGCUUGGCAGUGGAGCCAAGGCCAGCUGGUGUCGUCAGCUUACAAGUACAGCAGGGGAGACGACUAUGUUCUCACAGGAAUGACUCGCUGACACAUCUCUAGCUGCAGUGAUGGUCUCCUGUCACGAUCCGCUGCUGGACACAAAGGGAUCGACUCCUUGUGUUGCGUUCUGUGGAACCAGUGGACAGACAGAGACGGUUAGUGACACGCUUUCACUCACCAAGCAACGGUCCGUCCCAAAGGUUGGUCAAAAGUGUCGGCUGACAAACCCUCAGGAAAUGUUGUGGUUAAGACCACCUAUCCUGAGAUCAUGACCAGUCCAAACCAUUGCGGGGGCAGCACAGACCAAGACCACCAAGCAUGCCUGACCUGACAUGCAGAGUUGCCGCAUUGUCAAAACACAUUAAGGUAGCAACUAGGACUAGCACUUGUAACAAGAACCGGCACUUUGGUACUAAUUUGGUUCCAGCAUGUUAAAAACAUACAAUGAUACCACCAUCUUGCGGCAUCGUUGGUACCGAUUCAUCACCGCAACAACGAGGGCAGUACACACGUGUGCGCACUGAACUGUCUGCACCCAGGAAGAACGUUGGACGUCUUUAAAGAAAAAGACGGUGUAAACACAGCUCUGAGGUUGAUCGACACACCAGGUAGUUUGAUUUGUGUGUAGAGGUACAUUGCAUUCGAGGCAGGUAGAUUACGUAUUAUCUGUUAGGAGCCAUUUUAAACUCACUAAAACUCAAAGUCCGAGAUGUGAACGCAAGCGAGUGAGUUUCAUUUUCGUUUCUCUUGAUUCAUGUUGUACUUAACACAAACACAUGGUUUGAUGUUUAGGUGAGAGGGUAUUUAUUAGGGGCAAGCAAUGGCGGCUAGUGAAAAAAAUCUAUAUUCAUAUUCAAAACAUGUCAGUACAUAUAAUUAACAAAAAAGAUGGCUAAAAUGUACUUCAGUUUCAUAUUGCCCUGAAUUUAUGUUCUUGAUGUGUGUUUAUAAAUUAAAAUUAAAUAUAAGUCAGUCAACAAGUCUCUUUAUCAGUUAUUAAAGCAUUUUAAAAUUUCAAUUCUGUGCAUCCCCAGCAUUUAAGGUAAUCUAACAAAAAUUACCACGGCAAUAUCCUAUAAUACUGAUAGGCCAAUAUUGUUGGCCCGGUAGCCAAGUUAUUAAAAAAAGGAAUUAUAAUAUAAUAUCUGUAUUUGAUUUUCCCCGACGAUGAAAACCGACACGCAUCGCCAAAUAUGCUGAAAAUGCUUGUGAAAAUCUGAGACAUUAUUGUGUGACAUCAGUGUUCUUACUUUUAACACAUUAAAUUGUUGCAUGAAUAGUUACAUACUGUAUAUCGGUAUCGAUUUUUAUCGGCAUAUCCGGGAUCUGCAAAAUGUCGAUAUUGGUCGUCCCUAUUAAUGUACCUGAUUCAUACAGCAAGUCAAACUCAUGUCAGACUCAUCUGCAGCGUCAUCGCCUUUAACAUCACCAGUGUCAUCAUCAGCACCAUCUACUUCACCACCGCCAUCACAUCAUCUUUAUCAUCAUUGUGAUCACAUCCUCAUUAUCAUAAAGACCUUCAUCCCCCCAACAUCAUCUGCAUCAUGCUCCAGCCUUCACUCAAUACAAACAUCCGCUUCAGUGAUGCUUGUUUGUUUAAUUUCAGGACUGACUGGCGAACAGUAGGCAAAACAAGGCAUGGUCUGUGUUAGUUCCAUGUCCGACCACACGACGGCACUGAUCAAUCAUCGUCCUUAUGCGGAACUUCUGUUGUCAUGUGAGCACUGGUCACAUGAUCACAGGGAUCAGAGUGUCUAGAACAAGACCUGAAGUUCUGUCAUGUGAAGAAGCCCAAGAGAUUGGUGGGUCACGAAAGAAACCCAAAGACCUGGGCAUCUGGGCAUCCAGGACCCUGACACCCUCUCCUCCGAUCAGGGAGCAUUGCAGAGAGGAGGUGGCAAGAGGAGCAAGAAGAUGAGGAGAACAAGAAGAAAGAACAGUAUGAGGUGGACAGGAGGAGGACGAGGUGCAAGAAGGUGAGGAGGAUGAGGAUCAAGAAGAUGAGGAUGGGUAGGUCUGGAAGCGCCUGCGGUGGGAGUGGGACGUGGAUGGGGGAGGGUGGGUGCUGAUGGAGGCGCAGGGCGGGGAAGGCUGAAUGAAGAAUGACGCUCACCUCCUCGUCAUGGUGCUGAGGCUGCUGCGCUCUGCUGCUGGAGGAUGCGUCCUCUUCCAGCCGCCAUGGGCACCUCCCUCUGCGAUGUGGCCCUCACUAACGCUGCUACAACCUCCUGCUGCCCCUGGCCGCAGCAACCCUCCUCAUUUCUCCGGCUACAGACGAGUCCAGAAGUGAUGAAGAGCCGCGGUCUCUCCGUCCACUCGGACCAAACGCCACAGGCUCCCCGCCAAGGACUCCAGGCUCCGCGUUCCCUCCUCGAGUGUUCUCUUGCCGUGUGGACGUCACCGAUAUUUGGAGGAUUUUGUCGGUGGUGAGAGAGUGAGACUGUCCGCUAGCCAGGAUGACAGCCAGACUCCGCUCCACUGACGGAGCUCCAGGACGUCACUGCUGUCUUAGCCGAGAGUAUCACGUGACGGCAGAGCGGUGUUCAAGGGUCGUGGGAGAGAAAUGUUUCGGGUGGGAAGGAUACAAGAUGACUCUGACUUGAGGGAAUCUCUAACCUGUCUGAAAAUACAGACACCAUCCGAACUUUAUGCAGGCAUUCUUCCUUUAUCAUCCAUCUCUCAUCCUUCCUGUUGUUCAUCUUUCCUUCUCCCAUUACCCAUUAUUGUGCAUGUCUAUCAUGCAUCCUUCGCAUCCAUCCAUCAUAUAUCUGUCACCAUUCCUUCAGCACCCAUCUCUCAUUCUUCCUGCAUUAUUUAUCACUCACUCCUCUAUUCUCAUCCAUCUCUGAUCAUUUCCUCAUCAUCUAGCUUUGAUCCCUCCUUCAACCAUCUCUCAUCAGUCCUUGCUUAUUCGUCAAAUGCUUACCUUUCCAUCCAGACUGAACAUGGUACUCGUCAAUACACUAGAAACAUGUUUGCAGACAGGAAAUAGUUUUGAGCCUGGCGGUACGUCCAUCCAGUACCGAAUGUAGUCAUUGUCGUCAUCAGGAAUGAUAUACAGUAACUGCUCAGCUUCAGCAGCAGAGAAAUUCUGGAUCCCUCAACCCAGAACCAGUGACCCGGCAACCGAAGAGAAUCCCGUCACGUCACUGACAACACUCUUGACUCUGCUCAGCUCUGUUGCCAUGGAAACAAGGAAACUCACAUGCACACAAAAGCAGACACACACACACACACACACAUUUGUCUCUAUACGUCCAACACCCGGAGAAAGGCUGACACUCACAAAGUCAGUGUGUUAGCAACAGUAACCAUGGUGACAGCAAGACACAUUAUGGUCUGCUAGUAUAUCAGCAGAAGGUGAGUGAUUGAUGACGAUCCACACCACGGCCAUCUCCCGUCUCUCAUCCCUCCAUAAAAGAUGCUCCCAUUCUCAUGUGUCCGCACGUUGAAUCUGUGACCCUGAUGUGGUCCUAAUCCGAGAUUAUGUGAAAGCACUGCUGUGUUAUUGGAGCAUAUAAUCCCUCGUGCCGGGAUCAGGACCGUUACAGUCAUUCAAUCUCAUGUCGAAAAUCUCUGCCAAAGAAGUCAGAUGACCAUGUGGACUGGAUUGCUUGCCAAAAAAUCAUUUGGCACCAUGACGACACCGAUUGUUCAAGUCACCAUGUCUGCACUGAAGUUUCACUCAGUCACUCGUUGCCAUGACAACCUGAAUGAAUUGUGAGGCCUUGGAGUCUGAUGACCUCCUCCCUCUGCGCUGAGGUGUGCGUGUGUUUGGGCGGAUGUGGGAGGUGGGGGGUAGGAGGUACUAUCUAGGCCAGUGGACCCCUGAGACUCACGCUCUCAUGGAUUCUCCACAACGUUCCAGAUGAUCAGCAACAACAGCACCUGGGAAUCUGUGGACAUGAAUGUGCGUAUGUGUGUGCGGGCACACUUUACCAUACUUGUGAGUGUCAGAUCUUGGCAAGCCACCUUCUUGUGAGGACAUCUUGGCCUGUCCUCACAAGGUUUGGAGGGUUAAAACCUCAGUAAAAGUUUGGUCCUGUUUAAAGUAACCCAUUUGUUUUGGAUGCUUGGGUUUAGGGUGAGAGGCUGGGGAAAGCAUUGUGCCAAUGACCGGACCCCACAAAGAUGAUGUGACAAACCUGUAUGUGUGCACGCAUGUGUGUGCAUGUAUAUGUGCUGUAUGUAAGAGUGUGUGGGUGUGUUGCCCUCUGGAUCGGUUGUGUGCCCUGCUCUUCUUGUCUUCUGCUCGUAGGUCGUCUGGGUUGCUUUCCAUGCACCCAGUCGACCAGUACUUGUGAGCCGCUCCAGGAGUGGAGGGAACAGAAAUGCAUGAGGAGACCUGAGCUGGAUCAUAGGGGACCUUCAGAACCACAAACGGAUUCAGACAUACCUGUAUGUGUCCCUGAAACACAACUCUUCUAAUCACAGCUCACUGAGGCCCCCUACAUUAUUAAUGAGAAACUGCUUACAUAACCAGAA